Molecule: ribosomal RNA, 253 nt
Filed under: uncultured bacterium
Lineage: Bacteria
Description: partial 16S ribosomal RNA
Rfam family: Bacterial small subunit ribosomal RNA
Source: RNAcentral
UACGUAGGGUGCGAGCGUUGUCCGGAAUUAUUGGGCGUAAAGAGCUUGUAGGCGGUCUGUCGCGUCUGCUGUGAAAAUCCGGGGCUCAACCCCGGACUUGCAGUGGGUACGGGCAGACUAGAGUGUGGUAGGGGAGACUGGAAUUCCUGGUGUAGCGGUGAAAUGCGCAGAUAUCAGGAGGAACACCGAUGGCGAAGGCAGGUCUCUGGACAGUUCCUGACGCUGAGGCACGAAGGUCAGGGGAGCAAACGGG